This 380-nucleotide ribosomal RNA is filed under the name uncultured bacterium. Its description in RNAcentral is "bacterial SSU rRNA". It matches the Rfam family "Bacterial small subunit ribosomal RNA", at positions 102 to 478 of the family's 1533-position model. The record is from RNAcentral.
ACGGGUGAGUAAUGCCUAGGAAUCUGCCUAGUGGUGGGGGAUAACGUUCGGAAACGGACGCUAAUACCGCAUACGUCCUACGGGAGAAAGCGGGGGACCUUCGGGCCUCGCGCCAUUAGAUGAGCCUAGGUCGGAUUAGCUAGUUGGUGAGGUAACGGCUCACCAAGGCGACGAUCCGUAACUGGUCUGAGAGGAUGAUCAGUCACACUGGAACUGAGACACGGUCCAGACUCCUACGGGAGGCAGCAGUGGGGAAUAUUGGACAAUGGGCGAAAGCCUGAUCCAGCCAUGCCGCGUGUGUGAAGAAGGUCUUCGGAUUGUAAAGCACUUUAAGUUGGGAGGAAGGGCAGUAACUUAAUACGUUGCUGUUUUGACGUUAC